GGAGCAGCACAGACGGUCGCGCCAUAAAUAAAAGCGAUUUGAAGAACCGCAAGCGGCCGGGCGGAUUUCCAAUGGAAUCCGACCCGGAAACAAGCUUGCAGCGACUUUAGUCGCCUGGUGAGGAAAGUCCGGGCUUCACAGGGCAGGGUGCCGGAUAACGUCCGGUGGAGGUGACUCUAAGGCUAGUGCAACAGAAAAGAAACCGCCAAUUUUACGCAAUUUUGCGUAAAAUUUGGUGAGGGUGGAAUGGCGGGGUAAGAGCCCACCGCUCGGCUGGUAACAGGCGAGGCUGUGUAAACCCCAUCCGAAGCAAGACCGAACAGGAAGCGAUACGGCGGCCCGUCGUGCUUCCGGGUUGGUCGCGUUCUGUCCGGGGAACCGGGCAGAGGAGCUGUGCGGUAACGUACAGUCAAGAAAGAUGAUCGUCAAAUACAGAACCCGGCUUAUAGUGCUGCUCCAUAA
Molecule: RNase P RNA, 462 nt
Filed under: Lachnospiraceae bacterium
Lineage: Bacteria; Bacillati; Bacillota; Clostridia; Lachnospirales; Lachnospiraceae
Description: RNase P RNA component class A
Rfam family: Bacterial RNase P class A
About the family: Ribonuclease P (RNase P) is a ubiquitous endoribonuclease, found in archaea, bacteria and eukarya as well as chloroplasts and mitochondria.
Source: RNAcentral